CCAACCUCACACAUCUUGAGGUCCUAGAUGUGUCUGAUAACACCUUCAGAAUACCUUCCCAAUUUGGCAAUCUCUCAAAGUUGCAAUAUCUUGAUGUGAGUUGGAAUUUUUAUCCCAAUGUGGAUCAUGCAUGGUUGUCACGUCUCUCUUCGUUGAGCCAUCUUGACAUGAGUUCUGUGGAUCUUGGUUCUGCGAGGGAUUGGUUUCAGAGUGUUAAUAUGCUUCCUUCUCUUAAAGUGAUUGGCUUGUCCAGUUGUGGACUCAACAGCACCAUGUCUGCUAGUAUAUCACUUUCCAACCUCACACAUCUCGAAGUCCUUGAUAUGUCUGGUAACAACUUCUAUACUUCACUCAAGCAUGCAUGGUUUUGGAAUCUCAAAAGCCUUAAGGAGCUUUACCUCUCCUAUUCCAACUGGAUAGGGUCUAUUCCUAGUGAUUUGGCAAACAUGACGGCCCUUCAAGUCAUAGAUUUAAGUGCGAAUCAGCUCGUGGGUUUGAUACCAGAAAAAUUGGAAAAUUUGUGCAAUUUGACCAGAAUGAGGUUCAGUGGUAACAACAUAGGUUCGAGCAUAGGGGAGUUCAUGAGGCGAUUACCAAAGUGCUCAUGGAAUACAUUGCAAGAAUUUUCGGUGCAGGAUGCAAAUAUGACCGGGAAUCUACCCAGUUGGAUUGGUAACAUGACCAAUCUCAGUGUUCUUCAUGCACCUGAAAACAUGUUGAGUGGCCCUCUACCUGUAGGAGUUGGAGCACCGAGUAAUUUGAAAUGGCUGAUCCUUGGGAACAAUAACUUCAGCGGUGUGCUCUUGAAAGAACAAUUUGCAAAUUUAGGAAAAUUAGAGCUUUUGGACCUCAGCCACAAUAACUUCAGCGGUGUGCUGUUGAAAGAACAAUUUGCAAAUUUAGGGAAAUUAGAGUUUUUGGACCUCAGCCACAAUAACUUCAGUGGUGUGCUAUUGAAAGAACAUUUUGCAAGUUUAGGCGACUUAAAGAUUUUGUACCUUAGCUGCAAUAACUUCAGUGGUGUGCUCUCCAAUGAACAAUUUGCAAGUUUGGGCAACUUAAAGCUUUUGGACCUCAGCGGUAAUAACUUUAGUGAUUUUCUCUUGAAGGAACAGUCAGCAAGUUUAGAUAAUUUAAAGCAUUUGGACCUCAGCCAUAAUAAAUUAAAUAGUGUGCUCGUGGGGGAACAUUUUACAGGCCUAUUAAAUUUAAAGUAUCUGGACUUGUCGUACAACUCUGUGAGAUUAGCUAUCAACCAAAAAUGGGUUCCUGCAUUUAGGUUGAGUUACGCAAUAUUCCGGUCAUGUCAAUUGGGCCCUAGAUUUCCUGAGUGGCUUAAAUGGCAAUCUGACAUUGAUGUCCUUGUUCUCAGUAAUGCCAAUCUUGACGAUGUGAUUCCUGAUUGGUUUUGGGUUACAUUUUCCCGAGCUUCCUUCUUGCAAGUAUCAGGAAACAAAUUGCAUGGGUCAAUACCAUCAGAUCUACAACACAUGUCAGCUGAUCAUAUAUAUCUUGGAUCCAAUAAGAUUACAGGUCAAGUCCCACAGUUGCCUAUAAAUAUAGUACGACUGAACCUAUCUUCAAACUCUUUAUCUGGUUCAUUGCCAUCAGAGUUAAAUGCUCCACUACUCGAAGAGUUGUUGCUUGCAAACAAUCAAUUCAUAGGCACCAUCCCGUCGUCUAUAUGCCAAUUGACUAAACUGAAAAGGUUGGACCUAUCAGGAAACCAGUUAACAGGAGAUAUUAUGCAGUGCCAAAAGGAACUUGCUCCAAACUCUACAGAUCAAUUUGGCUCUGACAUGCUGAGCUUAGCCUUGAAUAACAAUGAUCUCACUGGUGAAUUCCCUAAAUUUCUUCAAAGGUCAUCAGGAUUAAUGUUCCUUGAUCUUUCUUACAACAGGUUAUUUGGAGGACUGCCAGAAUGGUUACCCCAAAAAGUGCCACAGUUGAAAAUAUUAAGAGUGAGAUCAAAUAUGUUCAGUGGUCAUAUUCCUAAGAGUCUCACUUCCCUUAAUGGUCUUCAUUAUUUGGAUAUAGCACACAACAACAUAACAGGAAGCAUGCCAUGGUCUUUAUCAAACCUCAAGGCAAUGAUGACAGUGGUGUCGCAGGACACAGGGGAUUACAUUUAUGAAGAGAGCAUCCCAGUAAUCACAAAGGACCAAAAGCGUGACUACACCUUUGCAAUUUACCAGUUACUGGUAGUUCUUGAUUUGUCAAGUAAUAGUUUGGAAGGACAGAUUCCAGAGGAGAUAACUUUGCUCAUUGGGCUUACCAAUCUGAACUUGUCAAACAAUCAAUUCACAGGAGCAAUCCCAAACAAAAUUGGUGAUUUAAGGCAGUUGGACUCACUCGAUCUGUCCUUCAAUGAAUUUUCUGGUGCAAUACCACCAAGUUUGUCAGCUUUAACUUAUUUGAGCCACUUGAACUUGUCGUACAACAAUCUGUCCGGUGCAAUACCAUCCGGACAACAGCUGCAAGCUCUUGAUAACCAGAUGUAUAUCUACAUCGGUAACCCUGGUCUUUGUGGAGAUCCUGUUAGCAGGAACUGCUCAACACAUGACGCAGAGGAAAGUGGCCUCGAAGAUAUAGAUCAUAUGCCAUCUGUUUAUCUUUCCAUGAGCAUUGGAUUUGUGGUGGGUCUGUGGACAGUUUUCUGCACCAUGUUGAUGAAGAGGACAUGGAGGGCUGCCUUCUUCCAGUUUGUUGAUAUGAUGUACGACAUAGUUUAUGUGCAAGUUGGUGUAAGGUGGGCUCACAUGAUGGAGAAAACUCAAGACGGUGCACCAUGAAGUGCCCAACUCCACAACAAGCGAAUUUUUUGUAUCCAAAUGCUAUUUGUAUGUUGGCACCAUAUCUCUAUUUGUAACCCUAAAGGGGCCUUGGCUGGAGGUAUGUAUUGUACUGAUGUACUGGUAUUUUUAUGUUUGUACUGUAACAAAUGAAGUGCAUAUGUCUGUGAAUUAUUUAAGCUGAAGUCAGCCAUUGUUCGCUCGUCGUUGUGCACUGCAUGGAGAAAGAUACAGCCCCAUAUGGGUACUCUGUCUUUUUCGGGUUCUUCAGUUUGCGUUGUACUUUCCCUAAGAGUAAUAAUUCAUUGGCAUAGCUAAAAAAUGACACCAGUUGGUCAAUAUGUGAACAUACUUGUUUGUAAUAUAUUCAAGAGGCAAGAGGUAGAAAGCUUUGUUCAUCAUCAGUGCUUGUAGAUUUAUUCAUGCUAAUCUGAAGCUGCCAUUUGAGCAGACAUUUUUUAAUCAACUCGACCAUGCCCACCGAGGGUGUGUUUGCCAGCGAAGUGGAGAAGCUCAAGUCCGUCCAGUUAAAUGCCUCGGAGCAGGUGGCCCUGGAGCCCUUUGAUCAUGACCACGCCUGCGUCGUUGGGGUUACACGAUGCCCAAGAAGCAAAAGUGAAGUUAAGAAGAAGAAAAGAAGUGGCUAUGUAAUUCUACAGUCUCUUAAUUUCAUGCCAGAGAUGUAAUUUGGAGUAUAUUUGCACUUUGGGAAGGAGCCACCAUGAAUGUUUGCAUGAUCCUCUGCCUGUGCUAGUUUCUGCUUUGUUACAUGCAAAAUCAAGAUGCGUGUUUACAGCUGCUAGCUGUCUACGGAUAGUACUGACUCGUGUUACAGCACCCAUGAAGCCGAAGAUGAUGCCGGUGAUGAUGGAGCAGUGUCGUAGGAGAGCUGUCCAGGGGCGUAGCCGUAGCCGUAGGGAGCAACGCCGUACGGGUUCUGGGCGUAGAACGCAUGCGGCGAAGGUGUGUGCCGGGGCGCAUAGCCGGGAGCAGCGUAGCCGGGCGGCGUGCGGCCGAGCAGCCCCCCUUGGCCAUAGGGCCACAUCUGGAUGGCGCCGUUCCAGGGAUGCUGCGGUGAGGGCCAGGCAGGAGUAGCAGCCUGCGGGGUCGCGGGCGCCGGGGUCUCCUUGGCGGCUCCAGCGGUGGCCUUCUUCUUCUUCUUUCCUUUUCCAGGAGCCUUGCCAGCGUUGCCGGUGUUGCUAGGGUUGCCGGCGUUGGUGAAGAGGGCCGUGUCCGAGUUGCGGGCGCGGCGGUUUUUCCGCUUCAUGUCUUGGAGCGCAAGCAACGAACGACACUGCGCGAAGGUCAUACCGGGCAUGAGGGAGAUGAGAUCGGCGGCGGCCUCGUAUUGCUCGGAGAGGCCGUUGAGGCAGUGGACCACCAUCUCGGCAUCAUCAACGGGAGCGCCAAGAUCUGCAAGCCCGUCGGAGAGGGACUUGACCUUCUGGAGAUAGUCGGCCAUACUCAUCUCUCCCAUCUUGACAUCGCCAAGCUCGGCCGUAAGGUGGAGUUGGCGAUUGAUCUUGUGGUCGUUGAAGAGACCAUUGAUGUUGUUCCAGAGAUCGACGGCGAGGGGAUCGUCGCCGGGCGUCAUGACGGCGUCGAGGAUGCUGAGCAAGACAGACCCAUAGAGCCAAGAGACGACGGUGGCGUCGAGGAGAGACCACUCCGGGUUCGGCGCAUCGGGAGCAUCGACGUCGAGGUGAUCCAGGAGGGCGUACUUGCGACAAGCGGCGCGGAAGAAGGUGCGCCAUUGCCGGUGGACGCCGGUGUCAAGCGCGAGCUCGACGGGAACGUGGCCUUUGAUGGAGUGGAGACCGACGGCUUGGGCGUGCAGCGAGGUCAAAGAGAAGGACCCCGCGCUUGUCCCUGAUCCAUCGGCGGCGGUCGCGAGAGGCAGCUUUGCUUUGGCGGCCUCGGCGGCCUCGCGCUCCUUGGCGGCGGCCAGCGCCUGGUUCGUCGCGUCGGCGUCGGGUUGCGACAUGGAGGCGGCGGUGUGGGCGCGGCGGCAAGGGAGAUGGUGGUUUCGGCGGCAGCGGAAGGAGGAGGAGGGCGGCACAGGCUAGGGUUAGGUUUUUAGGCUCUAUACCAUGUAAGAUUGGGGAAACCACACGUUGUGGUGCCUUGUAUUGAUCUAUAUAUAUGGGUUACAAGGUAGAGUUCGUAUCAUACAAUAUACGGACAGCUAUACAAGGACUACACAUAUACAACCGUAUAUCUGUACAAAACCAAUACGGUUAUAUAUUCUAACAUAUAUAAGGGUCUCUGUUUCAGCAAAGCACCCCCCUGGAUCAGCAGCCUGCGCAAGGUUCGGUCACAUUGACAUGUCAAGUGGACAGAAAUCAAGAACCACCAGGUGCUCCCAAAGUGUAUGGAUCGAACGAACACUAAAGCCUCGAAUCAGCUCAGCAGAGAGAUGCUCUGAUUUCACUCGUCAUCUAGAAAAUGGGAUUCUGAAUCGACAAAUUCAGGUUGUUUACUGAAUAAGGUUGUUAACUGCAUCCAGUGUCACAAAUUCAUGUUGCGUGUGUGAUGCCAAGUCUGAUCACAGAACUUAGCUUCUGGCAUCAGUAUAACACAUCCAAAAUACCUAUUGCUGAUACACUGAAGUUAUACGUACUAAAUAUUUUCUAGAGAAAAGGCUAGAUCCCAACUUUAUAGAUAAAACUAACGAGUUCACAUCACCGAAUACAACCAGCAAUAAGUUUUAAGGCGAACUACAGCAACCAGAGCACAUAACCAGUUUUGAGUGGCACGCAGGCCAACAACCAGGUACCAAAAGAAGCAUCUAAACUACGAUCUGACCACCACUAAGAAUAAGAAGGAGCCUGCAUUCUUGGAGAUAGAGAAGUCAUCGAAGCCCGAACGCAAGAGAUGAGCAGGUCCGUGGCAUCGACAUCCCAGCCCCUAACCAGAGGCCUCCACUGCUCAUAAGAGUUAGAAAUUUGAAGAUCACAUCAGCCGGCUUCGAGGGAAAACAUGUUCGAUGGUAAACUUGUUACGACUAGUCCAUAAAGCCUAACUCACAGCAGCAAAACCAAACCAGAACACACGACAUAGCUGAACAGACAUUGAACUGAUGAGCGUAAGCACUUGGGAGAAAACAGACAGAGCCCAGUUAAACCCCAACCACGACCGCGUGCAGCUCCACAUGAGCACCGCAAAGUCGCAACAAAGAAGAUAUGAUCAGUGUUUUCUGGUCCAGAGCAAAGAUAACAAGUGGUGGCAGCCCGAGCAUUACGUUUCCUAAGUUGAUCUGCUGCCGGGAGCUUCGCACGAAUAGCUUGCAAAGGAAAAAUCCUAAUUUUUAGAGGAACAUUAGCUUUCCAAACACCCUUGAACUUAGAGGUAAAAGAACGAGAAAUGAGUCUACAGUACAAAGACUUCACCGACAAAAGGAAAACCACCAUUGCUUUCUUUAGUUAUAUACAUGUACUUUUCUGGACAAAGGGAAAUUUUGACUUCUUGAAAAAGGAACAAAAAUAUUGGAUCCUGGCAAUGUCGAGCUUUCUCACAGCAAACACGAGAAAGGAUGGUUGGAUAUGCUUGCACCCUAUAAGUUGUGCUUAAAAGGAAAAUCAGAUCCUGUUGUUCAUUAUAUUUGCCUGGAAGUACACUGUUUGUCUUUGUUCCUUUUUUUUUGAAAAGGAGGAUGACACAUGCAGCCAUUUUAUUAAUUAUUCACCAAGAACUUACAAGGAGGAUGCCUUCUUCCAAUUUAUUGAUAUGAUAUAUGACAUGGUUUAUGUGCAAGCGGCUAUAAGGUGGGCACAUGUGGUGGAGAAAACUCAAGACGGUGCACCAUGAAGGGCCCAACUCUGCGGCAAGCAAGUUGUUUGUAUCUAAAUAUUAUUUGUAUGCUUGCACCAUAUCAAUAUUUGUAUCUCUAAAUUAGCCUUGGCUGGACUCCUGUACUGUAUUGUAUUGAUAUUUGUAUGUUUGCACCAUAUCUCUAUUUGUAGCUCUAAAUGAGCCUUGGCUGGAUGUUUGUACUGUACCGUAUUAGUAUUUUUAUGCCUGUACUUUAACAAAUGAAGUGUGUGUGUGUNNNNNNNNNNNNNNNNNNNNNNNNNNNNNNNNNNNNNNNNNNNNNNNNNNNNNNNNNNNNNNNNNNNNNNNNNNNNNNNNNNNNNNNNNNNNNNNNNNNNNNNNNNNNNNNNNNNNNNNNNNNNNNNNNNNNNNNNNNNNNNNNNNNNNNNNNNNNNNNNNNNNNNNNNNNNNNNNNNNNNNNNNNNNNNNNNNNNNNNNNNNNNNNNNNNNNNNNNNNNNNNNNNNNNNNNNNNNNNNNNNNNNNNNNNNNACAUAUAUAUAUGUUUUGCUCGAUUGUUUAAGCUGAUGAAAAAAAUACAGCCAUAUAACUACCUUGUGCCUUUUUCAUGUUGUUCGGUUUGCUUUUGUAUCAUCUAUUCCCAGAGAGUGACCAUUCAUUUGUAUUAUCUAUUCUCAUGUUCGUUAAUAUAUUUGAGAAUAUAUUUGUUUGUAAGAUAUCUCUGAAGGCAAGAAGAAGGAAGCUCUGUUCAGUAUCAGUGCUAGUUGACUUAUUCAUGCAAAUCUGAAGCUUCCAUUUGAGCUGAUGUUUCUUUAUUUUGGUGAGGCAAACUGUAUCGACUCGACCAUGCCCGCCGAGGCUGUGUUUGCCAGCGAAGUGGAGAAGCUCAAGGCCGACCAGUCCAAGCUCUCCAAGGAGGUGACUCUGGAGCCCUUUGAGUGUGACCACGCCUGCAUCUUUGGUGGUUACAGGAAAAUAAGUGUAUGUGGUAUAAAAUUCACUGGUGUGCACGAUUUCACAUUUAGAACAAAGAAACUAAUUGUAGCAGUCACAAACCGUGUCGUAUCCCAUAGUCAGCACUAACGUCUGUAAUCUUCACCUAUUAAACUUGUUUCCAGGGGAAGUCUUCAGUUGUUAAUUGAAAACCACCGUUUAAACUUUUCUUCCAGUGGAAAAUCGGAUGAACUGCAGCAGACGUUUUGGUCUCCGGUUUCAUGCGGACUCACACACUUAAAGCAUCCGAAAAUGCACGAGUCUGCAAAUGAAAACGUUUUGGUCUUCGGUUUCAUGCUGACCCACACAUUAAAAAAAAAUCUGAGGGCAGCUUCAUAUCAUAUAUGGAAGUAAAAGACAAUGCUGAAGUAGAGGCUCCCUGUUUCGCAAACAGACAAGGAAAGCGGAUACUCCCUCCGUUUCAUAAUGUAGUGCCUAUAGAUUUUUGCAUAAGUCAAACAUUACAAACUUUAACCAUAUCUAUAGAGAAAAGUAGGCACAUCUAGAAUACCAAUCGCACAUCAUUGGGUACAUUGUGAGUUAUAUUUUCAGAAUGUACAUGUUUGGUAUUGUAAAUAUAGACAGUUUUCUCUAUACAUUUGGUCAAAGUUGGCAAAGCGGAUACUCCCUCCGUUUCAUAAUGUAGGACCCCGACUCAAUGCCACAUCGAUCUAGCAUGUAACACCUCAUAUCACUUUGCGGCCUCACGCACGGUAUUCCCACGGGUGUCGCCUUAUCUUUGCCCGGGACCGUUUGCGCCUUUUGGCACACGUAUAUGACAGUGUCGCUAGCAUCCAUAUGAUAAGGAGCCCGGGCUGACAUGGCUAGUCGUAAACCCAAAGUGGCACAGACUUACAGGGACAGGCAUCCAUGACCCAGCAUCGAACGUGUCGGUCAUCAGCGAGUGAAUCCAGGCUGUAGCACUGGGCUAGCAGGACUCCGGUGAACCGGGCUGUAGCGGGCUAACAGGACUCCGGUAUUCAUCGCGUGACAUUUCCCCGAAGGGACAGACACAGGAACGAAGAAGGACACAUGCCGGCCAGCCUAGGUGUUCCGGAGCAGUAGCAAGCUACCAUGGCUCGGUGGAAACACUAGGAGACAUUUCCCCGUAAGAGAGGCUACUAAAGAUAAACAACUAGAUGGUCAGAUCCCACACAUACCAAGCAUUUCAAUAACAUACACACAAUAUGCUCGAUAUGUGCAAAUACAACAUGGCAUCACAACAUGACUCUACGACUCAAGUAAUUUAUUCAUUAGGCUCCGAGGAGCGAGAUAUUACAAACAUGGGUCUUAUGACCCAACAAUCAGAGCAUACAAGUCAAAGCACAUGCGGAAGCUUAACAUGUCUGAGUACAGACAUCUAUAAAUGAAAAAGGCUGAGAAGCCUGACUAUCUACCAGAUCCUGCCGGGGCACAAGAUCGUAGCUGAGGUAACAAGCUAAACGUCGAAGUCCACGCGAAACUACUAGUGAGACCGAAGUCUCUCAGCAAAAACAUAAAAUAGGCAAACGUGAGUACAAAUGUACCCAGCAAGACUUACAUCAGAAAUAUAUACAUAUGCAUCAUUAUCAACAAAGGGGUGGUGGGGUUUAACUGCAGCAAGCCAGCUUUGACUCGGUGGCUAUCCUGAACUACGUCUGCAAUGUAACUCUUUUGAGGUGGCGCACACGAGUCCACAUAUUCACCAUAUCAAUACACCACUAUGGAACCGCUCCCGUCUCCCUACGAAAACGCCAUCCAUAGCACUCACGCUUAUCUUGCGUAUUUUAGAGUAUCCACUUUCACUUGUCUAUGAACUGAUAUAAGCAACCCAGAAGUCCUUUACCGCGGACACGGCUAUUCGAAUAGAUGAUGAUAACCCUGCAGGGGUGUACUUCUUCAUACAUGUUUCCACCACUUAGCGUCUGCACACGACAUGUGCUCGGUAGACUUCAAGCGAAAGCCGACGUGGGUGUAGACCACGACCUACCUAAACACUCAAGUCUCUAGUCCAGGUUUAUCGCCUAUUCGGGUUCCAUCCAUGAGGAGAUCCGGCCGGAGUUUCGCUCACAGCCCCAAACGAUGUGAACAGGGUUCCGUGACACCAAACGGGCGCCCGGUAUACCCGGCCACGUGCCUACCGCAUCACAACCCACCCCUACGGUCAGCGCUGUCCACGGCCUCCAGCAUACUACAAACACCAGAAACUACUUGCAACUCCUGGACAGAGGACAAGGGUGAAUAAGAAGUCGAGCGGGGUCAUAUUUCAGGGCCCAAUGUAUGGUAGUAGCUGAAUCAUGGAUCACAAAUACAGAACUCAGUUCCUGAGGACGGCUGCAAUGAGACAACCCACCAUGUACUCCUACAUGGCCUCUCACCGCUACCUUUACCGAAACGUGUUCACACACUUAGCUCACACACAGUAGGACAUGUUCACACGCCUCUGAUUCAUCCCCGAUGAAUCAGACCUGACACAACUCUAAGCAGUAGCAGGCAUGACAAACAAGCAUGAAUGAGUAGGCACAACAGGGCUCAAACAACUCCUACUCAUGCUAGUGGGUUUCAUCUAUUUACUGUGGCAAUGACAGGUCAUGCAAAGGAUAAAGGGGGUUCAGCUACCGCAGCAAGUAACAGAUGAAUCGAUGUUGUCCUAAUGCAGUAAAAGAGAGCAGGAGCGAGAGAGUGGGAUUUUAUCGGAAUGAACAAGGGGGUUUUGCUUGCCUGGCACUUCUGAAGAUAACAUUGAGUCUUCAUCAGUGUCAACGAUCACAUCAUCGGUAUCGCGUCUAUCGAGAGGGGACAAAUACCGGCAACACAGAAAGGAACACAAUCAAUGCAAUGCACAAUAUGAUGCAUGCUCAUGACAUGGCAAUAUGAAUGUGUUUUGAGCUAAUGCAACUAGCAACAGAUUAAAUGAAGUUGGUUUGAAUAUAAUAUUCAAAUUCAAACUCCAUGUGUGAUUAAUUAAAUGCCCUUUAUAUGAUUUGUGCUAAACAGCAGCUAUAAGUUGUUCUAACAUGCAUGAAAAUGGUACAGAUGGAUUCCUUGAAUUUUUCUGAUAAUUUUUCAUAUAUAAAUUAUUUAAUUUGGAGUUACGGUUAAUUUUCUAUGAUUUAUUGAAGUUUAGAAUAUAUUCUGGAAUUAUCCUGAUUAAUAUUAAAUCCAGAAAUGAUUAUGGCGUCAGCACCACGUCACAGUGACGUCAGCAGGGUCAACCGGGCGCCCCAGGUCAAACCUGACGUGUGGGGGCCACACGUCAGUGACACAGGAGCUAAUCCCGGUCAAACCCAGCGCUAACUGAGGUUUGACCAGGGGUGGGGCCCAUAGUCAGUGGCCUAGGGGUUGGUUAGGGCGUCAUUAGCGCUAAUUAAGCGUGCCACAUCGGCAGUCGCCGGAGUAUCGCCGGCGACGACCCAAAACGCGGCGGAGACGCACCGGGGUGGCUCGGGUUUCGUCUAUACUGCACCGUUCGGUGCGCCCUUUGGCUCUACGGAGAGCUGGCGCGAUGGCGCGUCGGAUGGUCGUGGUCUCCGGGCCUGGGUGGCCGGAGUCGACGGCGGCGAGCUCGGUUGCGGCUGCCGGAGCUCGGGUUCGAGCGGGGCGAGGCCACAAAGGACGAGAGGGAUGGCUAAGGGGCUCACCGAGCUCCUGAAGAUGCUAGGAGCACGGUGCCGUGCUCGGUUUCGAGCCUUGUUGGCUGCAGUGACGGCGGCGACAUCGCCGGCGGCGUGGAGUUCUCGGCCAAGGCGGGGCUAGGGCCUAGAGGUCGAAAGAGACCAUGGGAGAAGGGGAAGACGACUCGGGGGCUCACCGUGAGUCCGUUUGGAGGGUCAGUGGGCUCGAGGGCGGCCGUAGUGCAACGAAUCGACGGCGACGAUCCCCGGUGGCCGAGGAGGGGAACGGCGACGUGGACGGCGAUGCAGGGCUCCCGGCGUUGCGUAGCUCCAUGGAGAGGUCGGGGGCGUCGAGGCGGAGCUUUCGAGCACGCUGGAUGGGCGAGGGAGGGCUGGUGGCCACGGUGGUUGCGAGCGACGUCGGCGGCGACGGGGCUCCGCUCGGUGGAGGAGAGAGGGAGCCAGAGAAAGGGGGGAGAAGGCACGGGGAGAGUGCGAGGCCUGGGAGGGUGCGUGGCGUCGCGGACGGGGUCCAGAGCGACGAGAGGAAGCAGGAGGUGGCCAGGGGGAAGCAGGAGGUGGCCAGGGGGAAGCAGGAGGUGGCCGAGGCCUCUCGGGCGCGCGCCACGCCUCGCCUCUGUUCGUCCUCCUAGCAGAGGAGGAAGAGGACAAGGGGGAACGAGGUGGGCUGGGCCGGCCAGAUGGAGCUGGGCCAGGUAAGUGGCGCCAGGUAGGUGGCCCAGGUGGCCUUCUCUCCCUCUCUUUUUUUUUAGUUUCCAUUUUCUAUUUAUUUUUCUGUAUUUGUUUUGAUUUAGUUUAGCAACUAAACCAUUUUAAUAAAUUCUGUAGUUUAUUAUGUGGCUUACUAAAAUAUAUACAAAGCCACUCACAAACUUCCAGAAUUAUUUGGAGUCAUAUUUAAUAUAUAUUAAAUAUAAAUCCAAAGCAAAUAGUUAUUGGAUUAAUACAAAUGGCCAAAAUAAAUAUCUCUGUGACUCCAAAAAUAUUGGUUUAAAUUUUACCUCUCACCAAUAUUUCCAUGGAAUAACAGGAACAUUUUCUUGGACUCAUUUGACGAAAUUUAAAUGUUGGUUAUUUUUAGAGGUCUUCUGAGGCUUUGAAAAUUCCUCAAUUCAAUUUCAUUUGAAUUUAAACAUGAUGCUCACAUGAGGUCUAGCCUAGUGCAUAACAGGACCAGGGAUGUGACAACUCACCCCCACUAAACAAAAAUCUCGUCCCGAGAUUCAAGCUUAGGGUAAGGUGAAGGGGGAACGCAAACUAGCACAAUCUUCACGAUCCAGGUUGCACUUCAUAGGAACGUUGAUUCGAUCACCAUCAUUGUCUCGAAGUCUUUCUCUAAGAAAUCCUGUCAACAUGACAUGGAGGGAAGAAGGAGACUCUAGAAGGGUCGAUCUUCUCGAAGAUCGAACAACUCACGGAAUGAGACAUAGGACCAUCUCUCGGGUUGAGACACGAGAUACACAUCAAGAGGGGUGGAGAGAAACGGAUGACGAAGGUUCACUAGGUGGACAACGAUUCCACACCUAAGAAGGUGGUGAACGGUUGUCAACGUAGCGAGGAGUUGAGUUGCCAUGAUACCACAAUGAGACACCUUCGGAACCGUGACUCGUAGAUAUCUCCCCUUUAAGUGGCAAAAAGAAUUACCUUUGAUAUAGAUAUCAUUGAGACUCUCUAUAUCAGCCUAAGGCAAAUCACAGCAAUCGAUUGGUGGGGGUCGGUAGAAUGGCAUACUCAGACUUGGAUGAUGUGGAUUACCUUGUUGAAGACAACGUAAUGGAUGAUUUUGCUUAUCACCGGAAAUGGAAGAGACCCAUGGUAGAAUGGCACAUUGGCGGUGCAAGCUGGGAACAAAAUGCAAAUGCUGGGAAUGAUCCUGGUAACUGGGGAAGAACCCAACAAUAGAGAGUGAAUUCACUGUUUGAAAAGAUCAUAGCAUUACCGAGGAAACUAAGAGGAAUCCCAGUUAGUGCCGAUGAUAACUCGUAGCGCUUGUGCGUGCUCUCAAGAACUUGAGCAUUUCCAUAUUCAUCAAGGUUUUACCAACAUCCGUGUCAAGGGUCCGGUAACACAACCUACUACCAUGAUGAAUGGUGAUGGAGGAUGCAGAUGCAAAGGAAGAUAACACUUCUCAGAUUUCAUCUUAGCGGGGCCAAGGGAAUAAAAUCUGGAUGAUCGACCGAGAGACAUUUAGCACUCCGCUUCUAAUGUUCUCCUUGAUGUGCUAGUAUAACCCAUUCAUAGAUAUGGUUUGAUAUCUAAAACAUCAAGUAAAAGGUCGGACUUCGGGAACACAAAAUCCAUAGGGGCAACUAGGGAGUAAACCCUACGAAAUCCCUAUGGGGAGGUGGCCAACUUCAUCAAUCAAGAUAUUAUAAUAACAGGUCUUCCGGCUGGGUGUGUUGGCCACGACAUCCACUUUACCGGUUAUCGCGCGACCAAUAUUAUAAUUUUUGGGAAAUAUUCCAACCAUCAUAUCUGCCUGAGAUUCAGAUCUGGUUGGUGUCAGGAUAUUCCAGACUCAUCGAGUCUAGGAAGGAAAAAAGAAAGUUUGCAACACAAAUCGACGAGAUGACGUUGCGGGAUUCUCGGGAGAUGAACUACGAUAGCAAGCUCCAAAACAUGAGCUGGUUCUGCUACAAACAUGUGAACACGUUGUCCCAGACAAGCAUGAACACGUGGUAGUCUUAUAAUAAAACACUACCGAGUUCAGGUGGGGAACCAUCAACGAGGAUAUCAAAAUCCUUGCAUAAGGUAUACUCUUAAGAAGGAACUUCUUCUCCUUGAACAAAUCAAUCAGUGGCUUGGUGUGCUCGGAACACAUAUGGAAUGAAGGUUGCAAGUCUCCAAACCAUAGGAUACUUCGCACAUAUGCAUGACUGACUUGGGAAGAUUCCAGAGGAAGCAAAACUAGCCUUCUCAAAUUCACGGCGGCAACUUUCACCAAUGCACGUGUAUAAGAGGAAGUCACUCCUUUCAUCAAACAAAUACUUCAUGAGCUAGCAUGAAGAAAAUGCUUCAAAAGUUUCCAACACUAGCUUAAUGUUCAGCAAAAUUAUGGAGAAGACAAGGAUGUUGUCAAUGGGCACAACAACAAUUCAUCUGGGUUUCCUUUUAAAAGGAAUUCCAUAGUUAAGUGAACAAGUGAUAGCAUUGGUCAGACCCAAAAGAUAUAAUGGUGUAUGCUCGAGGGAUCAACCACGAGUAAGACAAUAUUACGAAUAUCGUUGGUUCUGGUCUGAUUGGAUGAUAGCCCAUACUCAAUCAAAGGUUUGGGUAAGAUAAUAGAUCCAACAAUUGUUCACAAGGACCAAUUGAUGAAGAUAUCAUCUUUCUUCAACACACACACACACACAAAAAGAUAUCCCUUAACAUGAACUAAGUCGGACAAGCUUUUAUCUUCCAACUCUCCAAGUUGUUGUUUAGCUUAUCCAACUAGCUCAGGGUAUCCAACACGGAUUCUUGGAGAAGGGGUGGUUUACAGGAAUAAACCAACUUGAUCACGAACUCAACAUAGCGGUCAGGUGACAACCUGGUAAUACUUCUGAGAAGAUAUUCAGAAAAUCACGAACCACCGGUAUGUUACUAAGCUCGAGAACAAUCUUGCUUUUCAGGGCAAGACGAUAUGAUCAAUAGAGCAAGGAUUUGAAAUAAUCCUAACUCAUCGAUCGAGGAGUGAACCAGGAGAAUGGACUAGGUAGCAUGAUCAACCUUAGAAUGAUGAUUCAAAACCAACACGCUAAGAAUGAAAUUAUUGUCCAUUAACUACCAAGCAACAAGGUUGCUAGGAGUAUUGAAUUCACACAUCACGAUUCACUUGUCGACAUUCCGGUUAUAACCACACGGAACCGAGGAAUGAGUAAUGAUGGAGAGAAGUAUCACUGUACCAGUAGUUCAUAGGAUGGUGUGCAAUUCCUAUAACAAUCCCGAUAUAAAGAUGGUAAUACUCCAAGGUAGAACAGAACAAAAGCUGGAUUAGCAAUUUGCUCUGCGGAGCACAACUUCUUUGACCCAAUCCUGGAUAUGGAAGAGGUACUGGAGUUUGUUUCUCCUAGUCAUUCCGCGAUAGAAUGGCUUGACGGACCACAAGAGUAAUAGGCAUCGAUAAACGAACGCACACAUACCCUUGACUAUCAAUUGAUAGACGAGGGUCAGAAUGCAACUAAAGAGAACAACUCAAAGGAACAUAUAAUUUUUUGAGUUGUGGAUGCAUAGAUUAGUAUGUCGAACCAAGUUCAACAUAUUUCUUCCGGAUAACCCAUGCAGAAAGGUAGAACUGGCAGAGUCACGAUUUAUGAAUGGAGAACUCCUCAAGAAUAAUCCUGUUGUGAUAUUUCAGUUCAACGAGGAACUUCUGCCAUAAGUAGUUCAUGGUAUUUGGAAGAAGAAGAUACCACGGACUUCAAGGACUAUCGCAAAGGUUACUAAUAUCCUAAAGGCGCUAGCAAUUACUAUCAACAUGAAGUAGGUAGAGUGAAUCUCGGGUUCAAGAACCCAGGAACAGAAUACCUAUUACUAAGUAGCAUCACGGGAUGCUUUCGAGAAUGAUGGCCAGAAUCAUCACACUGGGACACCAAUCAUGGCUAAAUUACUAGGUGAUCCCCUAAGACACCUAGGGUCAUAAUACCAGCUCCAACAUAUAUGUCAAGGCAAUAAAGUACCUCAACUCACCGAUUAGUGUGGUUAAUCUGGCCCAAAGGAACAUCGAAACGGGAGGAAGGAAUUUGCAAAUUGCAUCAGAUUGUAUAGAAACCUGGGAUGACUCGGACAGCAUAACGGCUGUAAAUGCUCAGAAAAGAUUUGAGACAUUCACAAAAAUGGUGGCAUAACCACUCAGGAGCACAAUAUCAAGGUUUCGAGAUCAACAGUUAACAUACAAAAGAUAGUAGGAACUGAACUGAGGCUUGAAUCAACAAUCUUAUAAGUCUACGGAUUAGUAACACGUGAUCCUGAUAGAAAGAAGAGAUAGCCUAGUUCUUAAUCCCCGUAGGAAAGAUAAGAUGACUCAGAUCAGAAGGGCAUAAAGUAUAAGGAGUAAAAGAGCCUUACGUUCCAUCCCACAAUCAAUUCCCUUAUAUAACUAAAGAAUUUCUAGACUCAACUUCGACCAGUUUGGCUUGGUAAUCCUACAGGCAGUCAAGCUCUGAUACCAACGCUGUCAGGACCCCGACUCAAUGCCACAUCGAUCUAGCAUGUAACACCUCAUAUCACUUUGCGGCCUCACGCACGGUAUUCCCACGGGUGUCGCCUUAUCUUUGCCCGGGACCGUUUGCGCCUUUUGGCACACGUAUAUGACAGUGUCGCUAGCAUCCAUAUGAUAAGGAGCCCGGGCUGACAUGGCUAGUCGUAAACCCAAAGUGGCACAGACUUACAGGGACAGGCAUCCAUGACCCAGCAUCGAACGUGUCGGUCAUCAGCGAGUGAAUCCAGGCUGUAGCACUGGGCUAGCAGGACUCCGGUGAACCGGGCUGUAGCGGGCUAACAGGACUCCGGUAUUCAUCGCGUGACAUUUCCCCGAAGGGACAGACACAGGAACGAAGAAGGACACAUGCCGGCCAGCCUAGGUGUUCCGGAGCAGUAGCAAGCUACCAUGGCUCGGUGGAAACACUAGGAGACAUUUCCCCGUAAGAGAGGCUACUAAAGAUAAACAACUAGAUGGUCAGAUCCCACACAUACCAAGCAUUUCAAUAACAUACACACAAUAUGCUCGAUAUGUGCAAAUACAACAUGGCAUCACAACAUGACUCUACGACUCAAGUAAUUUAUUCAUUAGGCUCCGAGGACAUGCGGAAGCUUAACAUGUCUGAGUACAGACAUCUAUAAAUGAAAAAGGCUGAGAAGCCUGACUAUCUACCAGAUCCUGCCGGGGCACAAGAUCGUAGCUGAGGUAACAAGCUAAACGUCGAAGUCCACGCGAAACUACUAGUGAGACCGAAGUCUCUCAGCAAAAAUAUAAAAUAGGCAAACGUGAGUACAAAUGUACCCAGCAAGACUUACAUCAGAACUAUCUACAUAUGCAUCAUUAUCAACAAAGGGGUGGUGGGGUUUAACUGCAGCAAGCCAGCUUUGACUCGGUGGCUAUCCUGAACUACGUCUGCAAUGUAACUCUUUUGAGGUGGCGCACACGAGUCCACAUAUUCACCAUAUCAAUACACCACUAUGGAACCGCUCCCGUCUCCCUACGAAAACGCCAUCCAUAGCACUCACGCUUAUCUUGCGUAUUUUAGAGUAUCCACUUUCACUUGUCUAUGAACUGAUAUAAGCAACCCAGAAGUCCUUUACCGCGGACACGGCUAUUCGAAUAGAUGAUGAUAACCCUGCAGGGGUGUACUUCUUCAUACAUGUUUCCACCACUUAGCGUCUGCGCACGACAUGUGCUCGGCAGACUUCAAGCGAAAGCCGACGUGGGUGUAGACCACGACCUACCUAAACACUCAAGUCUCUAGUCCAGGUUUAUCGCCUAUUCGGGUUCCAUCCAUGAGGAGAUCCGGCCGGAGUUUCGCUCACAGCCCCAAACGAUGUGAACAGGGUUCCGUGACACCAAACGGGCGCCCGGUAUACCCGGCCACGUGCCUACCGCAUCACAGCCCACCCCUACGGUCAGCGCUGUCCACGGCCUCCAGCAUACUACAAACACCAGAAACUACUUGCAACUCCUGGACAGAGGACAAGGGUGAAUAAGAAGUCGAGCGGGGUCAUAUUUCAGGGCCCAAUGUAUGGUAGUAGCUGAAUCAUGGAUCACAAACACAGAACUCAGUUCCUGAGGACGGCUGCAAUGAGACAACCCACCAUGUACUCCUACAUGGCCUCUCACCGCUACCUUUACCAAAACGUGUUCACACACUUAGCUCACACACAGUAGGACAUGUUCACACGCCUCUGAUUCAUCCCCGAUGAAUCAGACCUGACACAACCCUAAGCAGUAGCAGGCAUGACAAACAAGCAUGAAUGAGUAGGCACAACAGGGCUCAAACAACUCCUACUCAUGCUAGUGGGUUUCAUCUAUUUACUGUGGCAAUGACAGGUCAUGCAAAGGAUAAAGGGGUUCAGCUACCGCAGCAAGUAACAGAUGAAUCGAUGUUGUCCUAAUGCAGUAAAAGAGAGCAGGAGCGAGAGAGUGGGAUUUUAUCGGAAUGAACAAGGGGGUUUUGCUUGCCUGGCACUUCUGAAGAUAACAUUGAGUCUUCAUCAGUGUCAACGAUCACAUCAUCGGUAUCGCGUCUAUCGAGAGGGGACAAAUACCGGCAACACAGAAAGGAACACAAUCAAUGCAAUGCACAAUAUGAUGCAUGCUCAUGACAUGGCAAUAUGAAUGUGUUUUGAGCUAAUGCAACUAGCAACAGAUUAAAUGAAGUUGGUUUGAAUAUAAUAUUCAAAUUCAAACUCCAUAUGUGAUUAAUUAAAUGCCCUUUAUAUGAUUUGUGCUAAACGGCAGCUAUAAGUUGUUCUAACAUGCAUGAAAAUGGUACAGAUGGAUUCCUUGAAUUUUUCUGAUAAUUUUUCAUAUAUAAAUUAUUUAAUUUGGAGUUACGAUUAAUUUUCUAUGAUUUAUUGAAGUUUAGAAUAUAUUCUGGAAUUAUCCUGAUUAAUAUUAAAUCCAGAAAUGACUAUGGCGUCAGCACCACGUCACAGUGACGUCAGCAGGGUCAACCGGGCGCCCCAGGUCAAACCUGACGUGUGGGGGCCACACGUCAGUGACACAGGAGCUAAUCCCGGUCAAACCCAGCGCUAACUGAGGUUUGACCAGGGGUGGGGCCCACAGUCAGUGGCCUAGGGGGUUGGUUAGGGCGUCAUUAGCGCUAAUUAAGCGUGCCACGUCGGCAGUCGCCGGAGUAUCGCCGGCGACGACCCAAAACGCGGCGGAGAUGCACCGGGGUGGCUCGGGUUUCGUCUAUACUGCACCGUUCGGUGCGCCCUUUGGCUCUACGGAGAGCUGGCGCGAUGGCGCGUCGGAUGGUCGUGGUCUCCGGGCCUGGGGUGGCCGGAGUCGACGGCGGCGAGCUCGGUUGCGGCCGCCGGAGCUCGGGUUCGAGCGGGGCGAGGCCACAGAGGACGAGAGGGAUGGCUAAGGGGCUCACCGAGCUCCUGAAGAUGCUAGGAGCACGGUGCCGUGCUCGGUUUCGAGCCUUGCUGGCUGCAGUGACGGCGGCGACAUCGCCGGCGGCGUGGAGUUCUCGGCCAAGGCGGGGCUAGGGCCUAGAGGUCGAAAGAGACCAGGGGAGAAGGGGAAGACGACUCGGGGGCUCACCGUGAGUCCGUUUGGAGGGUCAGUGGGCUCGAGGGCGGCCGGAGUGCAACGAAUCGACGGCGACGAUCCCCGGUGGCCGAGAAGGGGAACGGCGACGUGGACGGUGAUGCAGGGCUCCCGGCGUUGCGUAGCUCCAUGGAGAGGUCGGGGGCGUCGAGGCGGAGCUUUCGAGCACGCUGGAUGGGCGAGGGAGGGCUGGUGGCCACGGUGGUUGCAAGCGACGUCGGCGGCGACGGGGCUCCGCUCGGUGGAGGAGAGAGGGAGCCAGAGAAAGGGGGGAGAAGGCACGGGGAGAGUGCGAGGCCUGGGAGGGUGCGUGGCGUCGCGGACGGGGUCCAGAGCGACGAGAGGAAGCAGGAGGUGGCCAGGAGGAAGCAGGAGGUGGCCGAGGCCUCUCGGGCGCGCGCCACGCCUCGCCUCUGUUCGUCCUCCUGGCAGAGGAGGAAGAGGACAAGGGGGAAGGAGGUGGGCUGGGCCGGCCAGAUGGAGCUGGGCCAGGUAAGUGGCGCCAGGUAGGUGGCCUAGGUGGCCUUCUCUCCCUCUUUUUUUUUAGUUUCCAUUUUCUAUUUUUUUUUUCUGUAUUUGUUUUGAUUUAGUUUAGCAACUAAACCAUUUUAAUAAAUUCUGUAGUUUAUUAUGUGGCUUACUAAAAUAUAUACAAAGCCACUCACAAACUUCCAGAAUUAUUUGGAGUCAUAUUUAAUAUAUAUUAAAUAUAAAUCCAAAGCAAAUAGUUAUUGGAUUAAUACAAAUGGCCAAAAUAAAUAUCUCUGUGACUCCAAAAAUAUUGGUUUAAAUUUUACCUCUCACCAAUAUUUCCAUGGAAUAACAGGAACAUUUUCUUGGACUCAUUUGACGAAAUUUAAAUGUUGGUUAUUUUUAGAGGUCUUCUGAGGCUUUGAAAAUUCCUCAAUUCAAUUUCAUUUGAAUUUAAACAUGAUGCUCACAUGAGGUCUAGCCUAGUGCAUAACAGGACCAGGGAUGUGACAAAGGUAAGGACUCUGUUUUAGCAAAGCACCCUCCAUGACCAACAGACUGCUCGAGAUUCGGUCAUUCUGGUGACAUUGACAUGGCACAUGGACAUAAAUCAGGACCCACCAGACACUCGCAAAGUGUAUAGAGCGAACGAACACCAACGCCUCAAAUCAGCUCCUCGGGCCUCAGUCCCGAAUCAGCUUGACACAGAGAUACUCUGAUUUUUCCUAAUCAUGCAGAAAGCGGAUUAUGCAUCGCCGCACUUACAUUGUAUUAAUAAGCUUGAUCACUGUAUAACUCACUAACUUCCCAAGAUAAAAGGGUGGAGGAACUUAGCUUCUGGUAUCACUAUCACACAUCCAAAAUACCAAUAGCUGGUACAGAAAACCCUUUGGUGUAUACAUGACAUCCCAAAUUGAUUCUCUAAAACAUCACAGCACAUUCAGUACAGUCGCAAACACGCAUGGAACAUAUGAACAGUACAUGCUUUAAAGUGCUACCUGCGUUUGGAGGUUUUCGUUCUCCGCUGUUUCCGCGACAACCAUCUGCUCCUAAAGAACCAAACCUCGGUUCCGGCAAAGCUUCCUUUAUUACGCACAUGGCUCCGACUGUUCGUUCAUCCUCUUCAGCACAGGGGCUGAUUUGUUUUGGGUACUGUGUGGCGUCCCUUCUUUUCCCCUACAGCCCUAUAACAUGUGAACAGACACACUUUGUUUGUAAGAUCUCUGAAGAGGCAAAAGGUAGAAAGCUUUGUUCACCACCUGUUGGUAGCCUUAUUCACGUUAGUCUUAAGAAGUUGCCAUUUGAGCUGACAUUUCUUUACUUUGAUGAGGCAAACUGUAUGGACUCGACCAUGCAUGCAUUUCUCUGCUGUAGCGAGCAAACCAAAAGCUCAGCGUACAGUCGGGUUGCCAUGUUAAGAUCGAUGGUAAUUUAGCAUGCCUCUUGAUAGACGGCAUUUCUUCUCUGUUUCACUGACUUACUGUGUGAUACUCUGCUUUAGCUCUGAAACAAUCUUAAGCCGAAGUGUGUGAUGAUCCAUUCAUUUCGGGUUAAGAAUGUACAGCCUCACAGCCCUCUUUAUCUUUCUACAGAAAAAAGUGAUGAGGAGCAUAAAUCUUCAGCCACAAAUCUUUAGCUUUUUCAAAUUCAAGAUGCAGCUUGCUGUCAAAGGAAGGUGGUUGGAUCUCAAGACUCGGCAAACUGAACAAAAGAAGGCAGCUGGUUGUUGGGGUAGAUAAAAGCAGAGAAGCUUCUCUCCUGUGGACCAGCCUUCCUCCUCUGCUCCUCAUCUCCUUUGCCAGCCUUCCAUCUGCACAUCAUCGAAGCUCCGCAUCUUCCUCUGCUCCUUGUCUGCUUAGCCAGCUCCGCAACCUGGCUUCGACUACUCAUUGAUGAAUUCUUGUUCCCUUCUCCUAGUACUUUGCUGGUCCAGCUUUGCCAGUGAACUUUGGAGAAUCUGUGUUGAUCCCUCAUAGAGCUCGUGUUAACUCCUGUGAGAAACUGAUGCAUAUACUUUGUGAGCUCGUAGGCUAUCUCUAUUCCUGAUGAUGACUCGACUGUGCUCAGUAGUUUAUUCUUUAUAGAUCUUCUGUUUGCUGCCGAUGUGAAGAAAACUACAGGAGAUUGCUACUGUAGUUUAGUAGCUCCUGGUUUGUAAUUAUGUCCUUGUGACGGUUUCUGUCUGCAUCCAAAAACUAUGUGUUUUGAGCAUUCAGAACUGAAGGAACGCUCGCCAGUUUUCCAUCAAGUUGUUGCAGUAUGUUUACAGCAAGAUGCAAAUUAUAAUGCUAACACAUCUUGUUGGUAGUAAAAAAAAUCCCUCAUUUAUUCCACCUCUUAUUUGUGUUUCCUUGUUUCAUCAAAAUUUUCCCUCCUUUAUUCCACCUCUUAUUUUUGUUUCCUCUCCUACACUACCAACACAUGCUUUGAAAUGAAGUAAAAUUCUGAAUGCAUUCUUUGAAGUGAUGCACACGGCUGCAACCCCUCUCCUUCUGGAGGCGAGCUGCCACUGCGGCGUCCUGCGUGGCGGGGCGGAUGGGGAGCGAUGCGCACCUCUACGACGCGGCCGCCUCCUUCACGGCCCUCUUCGACUGCUGCUUCGACGCCGACGAUCUCGAGCGCUGAAGCCCCCUCAUUGUCCUCCACUUUCCCCGCAGGUUCGCUUUCUAUUUCACAGAAAUAGCGCAGAGCAAUUCAGGCUAAGAAAAUUGCUAUGACGUGCCUCACCAGUGAACGCACAAAUCAUAAUAUGCAAGCCACCCAAUUCCUAACCUUUUAAUGGAGAAAAUGAAACAGGGAGAGCUAAUUACUGAACGUGCUCGUCUGCCGUGCCGUGCUCGCCGCGGUCGAUUGUCCAAAUCAUUCGGCCAUAACUUGACUUAAGACUAGAAGAAAAGUAUGCAUGCAGUGCAAGAGAAGCAGUAUGCAUACAACAUUGUUAGAAUAUAAUUGUGUUUAAGAUAGAGAUAGGAGUUAGAGAUAGAAUAGGUUUAACAUGUACGACUUGACCUCUACUCCAAGUCUCUCUCCCUCGCAAUGUAUUCUAUAUAUACCCCAUAUGAGGAUCAGAUCAAUACAACAUACAACACAACAACAUAAUAUUAGCCAUCUCAUAUUUUCCACAUGGUAUUAGAGCGGUUAGUCUCACGACGCCGAUCCUAGCUUCCUCUACCACUUCCGCGGCGCGCCGCCCCCGGGGAGAUUAAUCUCUCUCCCUGGGGGCGCGGCAUCCGAUCGAUCAAAAGAUCAGAUCGGUUCCAUAGUUUAGAUCAAUUUCUUAGAUUAGAUCAAUUUCAAUUUUUGAAAUCCCUUAAGACCAAUUUUUCUUAGCUACAAAUAAAGCCCGACGAUCCUCAAAAUCCGGUGAAAACCAGCACAGAAAUCGCAGCGGCAUCAAGAACUUCAUCUACUCUCGCCGGCCGAGGCGUCGGCUCCGCGAGCGUCCACCUCCAGCCGCACGCACGGGCGCAGCAACACCGGGAGGGCGCACGACUAAAACAACACACGGGGCACAAGGCUGCAGAGGGAGGAGUGUGGUCCUGUUGCGCGCUGCAGCGGAAAGAGUGCGUGUCGAUCGUCCGGGAGAUGUCGGGCUGAUGCGCUCGUCCCGCCUGAAGUCGACGACGCGUUCCACCACGUCACUUGCAUCCACGACACUCCCGCUGUGACUGCGGGAGGGAAUAGAGGAGAAGACAGGGAAGGCACCAGAAGGGGAUGCAGUCAACGCCCUAGGUGUUGACCCCAUCAGAGACGCAGUUGAUGAUGGCGCGGCGGAGAAGACGACGAAAGCAUAAGAAUUCAAAUUCAGUCGUCAUCGUCCGCUUCACUCCCACUACGACUGAGGGGGAAUGUUAGAAUAUAAUUGUGUUUAAGAUAGAGGUAGGAGUUAGAGAUAGAAUAGGUUUAACAUGUACGACUUGCCCUCUACUCCAAGUCUCUUUCCCUCGCAAUGUAUUCUAUAAUACCCCAUAUAAAGAUCAGAUCCAUACAACAUACAACACAACAACAUAAUAUUAGCCAUCUCAUAUUUUCCACAAGCAUGACAAAGACCAAGACGUGGACUACAAUGGGAGUGGCCGGUAAUUGGCCACCAUGACAAAUCCUGGUGAUUUUUUUGAUUAUUUUUGCCGAUUGUGGGGAGUACUGAGAGCCAUGAGUCCUUGUAUAUUUAUAUGCCAACACUGAAAAAACUCUCUAGACCUUAAUGCUAGAUGUGUUACCUGACCCACAAUGUGCAGAUAUUAUUAGUGUAAUUGAGAUAAAUAUUACAGCUGCAGCUUCUGCCGUGCUGUGCAUGGUGGGCUGUCCGAAUCAACAAAUUUUGGCCACACCUUGAGCGUCGGAAAAGUAUGCAUGACAAGACCCCAAGACGUGGGUUGUAGACCAUACUCCCAUAUUGCAGUUGUGGUGGAACCGGGAUAGAGAUAAGCUGCUCUGUCCAUUAUCCUUUCCAUCUGCCAUUUCCAAUCAAUAUGACCAAUAUGGCUAAGCUUGUACUACUCAUCCCAGGAACUACACUACUGCUUUGUCUAUUGAUCUUCCAAGUAGCAUCCACUUCCCAUUGCCAAGCGAGUGUAUCAGGCGCCUGCAUCAGCAGCGAGCGAGAUGCGCUUCUGUCCUUCAAGGCAAGCCUCCUCGACCCUGCUGGCCAUCUCUCGUCAUGGCAGGGUGAGGAUUGUUGCCAAUGGAAGGGAGUCCGGUGCAGCAACAGAACAGGCCAUCUCAUCAAGCUCAACCUCUGCAACAUCGACAUGGACAGCUACGAGUACCGAAACAGGAUCAGAUCAUUGAGCUUGUCGGCAGGGGAGAUGAGCUCUUCUUUGGCUACUUUACAACACCUGAGGUAUGUUGAUCUGAGCGGGAAUGACUUCAAAGGCACAAGCAUCCCUGUGUUCUUAGCUUCUCUCAAGAAUCUAAGGUAUCUCAACCUCUCGCGGGCAGGAUUCGGUGGGAGAAUACCUUCCCAACUUGGCAAUCUCUCAAAGUUGCAAUACCUUGAUCUCAGUUGGAAUUAUGAUUAUUAUGGGAAUAGGUCUUACAUAGUGGAUCUUGCAUGGUUGCCACGUCUCUCUUUGUUGAGACAUCUUGACAUGAGUUAUGUGGAUCUUGGUUCUGCGAGGGAUUGGUUU
This 25019-nucleotide long non-coding RNA is filed under the name Triticum aestivum (bread wheat). RNAcentral's name for it is "long non-coding RNA (TAES_LNC012706)". Lineage: Eukaryota; Viridiplantae; Streptophyta; Magnoliopsida; Poales; Poaceae. The record is from RNAcentral.